UUAAGUUCAGCGGGUAUCCCUACCUGAUUCGAGGAGUUCACGUGUCUUGCUCUCUCCCCCGCCCGACAGACGGGCCAGGGCUGGCAGCCUCGCCGCGUACCGGCGGCAAUGCGUCAUAUCACGCUCGGCCACGCGGCAGGCGUCCGCCCAUGGAUUCCAGCGCGGUGGCCGCCCACUCGGGCACGCCACCGCAGCCAUGA
RNAcentral lists this unclassified non-coding RNA (200 nucleotides) under Helvella sp. RNAcentral describes it as "partial internal transcribed spacer 2". The record is from RNAcentral. Lineage: Eukaryota; Fungi; Ascomycota; Pezizomycetes; Pezizales; Helvellaceae.